RNAcentral lists this transfer RNA (541 nucleotides) under uncultured Prochlorococcus sp. RNAcentral describes it as "partial 16S-23S ribosomal RNA intergenic spacer". The stretch from base 212 to 284 matches the Rfam family "tRNA". The record is from RNAcentral. Lineage: Bacteria; Bacillati; Cyanobacteriota; Cyanophyceae; Synechococcales; Prochlorococcaceae.
CAGGGAGACAACAAAAUGUUUAAUAUUAUUAUUUUGUCACCUUAGGUCGAUCGGUAUCUCACGUUCUUAAUUCAUUAAGAAUUUCAUUUCCUAAGUUUUUCUAGGUCACACCCAUUAUUUUUCCUGGGCCAUUAGCUCAGGUGGUUAGAGCGCACCCCUGAUAAGGGUGAGGUCCCUGGUUCAAGUCCAGGAUGGCCCAUAUCUCUAUGUUGGGGGUAUAGCUCAGUUGGUAGAGCGCCUGCUUUGCAAGCAGGAUGUCAGCGGUUCGAGUCCGCUUACCUCCACUGAUUACCACCUCUUCCAUAAUUGGUAGAAAGGAAAUUUUUUGAGUUGUGAUCAAAUUCUGAACGAAUCUAGCUUCCUAAUGUAAUUAUUAAGAUGCUGGACUCAUUGAAUUAAAUUCAUUGUUUUCAGAGAACCUUGACAACUGCAUAGAUUAUUUUUAAAGACAAUAAGCAUCUUUAAUGAUGCAGAUUUAUUAUUUAUGCGAAUGCAUUAAAUAACAAUUCUAUUAAGCUGAUGCUUCAAUUUUGAAGUUAUU